AGUGAACGCUGGCGGUAGGCCUAACACAUGCAAGUCGAACGGCAGCACAGUAAGAGCUUGCUCUUACGGGUGGCGAGUGGCGGACGGGUGAGGAAUACAUCGGAAUCUACUUUUUCGUGGGGGAUAACGUAGGGAAACUUACGCUAAUACCGCAUACGACCUACGGGUGAAAGCAGGGGAUCUUCGGACCUUGCGCGAUUGAAUGAGCCGAUGUCGGAUUAGCUAGUUGGCGGGGUAAAGGCCCACCAAGGCGACGAUCCGUAGCUGGUCUGAGAGGAUGAUCAGGCACACUGGAACUGAGACACGGUCCCGACUCCGAAGGGAGGCAGCAGUGGAGAAUAUUGGACGAUGGGGGAAAGCCUGAUCCAGCCAUACCGCGUGGGUGAAGAAGGCCUUCGGGUUGUAAAACCCUUUUGUUGGGAAAGAAAAGCAGCAGGUUAAUACCCCGCUGUUCUGACGGUACCCAAAGAAUAAGCACCGGCUAACUUCGUG
Molecule: ribosomal RNA, 492 nt
Filed under: uncultured bacterium
Lineage: Bacteria
Description: partial 16S ribosomal RNA
Rfam family: Bacterial small subunit ribosomal RNA
Source: RNAcentral